UGGGGAAUCUUGGACAAUGGGGGCAACCCUGAUCCAGCCAUGCCGCGUGAGUGAUGAAGGCCUUAGGGUUGUAAAGCUCUUUCAGUGGUGAAGAUGAUGACGGUAACCACAGAAGAAGCCCCGGCUAACUCCGUGCCAGCAGCCGCGGUAAGACGGAGGGGGCUAGCGUUGUUCGGAAUUACUGGGCGUAAAGGGCGUGUAGGCGGAUCGGUCAGUCAGUGGUGAAAGCCCCGGGCUCAACCUGGGAAUUGCCUCUGAUACUGCCGAUCUAGAGUCCGGGAGAGGGUAGUGGAAUUCCCAGUGUAGAGGUGAAAUUCGUAGAUAUUGGGAAGAACACCAGUGGCGAAGGCGGCUACCUGGACCGGUACUGACGCUGAGGCGCGAAAGCGUGGGGAGCAAACAGGAUUAGAUAGCCCUGGUAGUCCACACCGUAAACGAUGAAUGCCAGUCGUCGGGUAGCAUGCUAUUCGGUGACACACCUAACGGAUUAAGCAUUCCGCCUGGGGAGUACGGUCGC
This 517-nucleotide ribosomal RNA is filed under the name uncultured bacterium. RNAcentral's name for it is "bacterial SSU rRNA". It matches the Rfam family "Bacterial small subunit ribosomal RNA", at positions 355 to 889 of the family's 1533-position model. The record is from RNAcentral.